AUUGGCGACACGCCCGAGUGCAAAUCGGGAGAAGGACCCCUACAGGGUCCCGGGGCUU
RNAcentral lists this transfer RNA (58 nucleotides) under Hemidactylus frenatus (common house gecko). RNAcentral describes it as "partial tRNA-Cys". The record is from RNAcentral. Lineage: Eukaryota; Metazoa; Chordata; Lepidosauria; Squamata; Gekkonidae.